AGUGAACGCUGGCGGCAGGCCUAAUACAUGCAAGUCGAACGGCAGCACAGUGGAGCUUGCUCCAUGGGUGGCGAGUGGCGGACGGGUGAGGAAUACAUGGGAAUCUGCCCAGUCGUGGGGGAUAACGUAGGGAAACUUACGCUAAUACCGCAUGCGCCCUUCGGGGGAAAGCCGGGGACCUUCGGGCCUGGCGCGAUUGGAUGAGCCCAUGUUCGAUUAGCUAGUUGGCGGGGUAAAGGCCCACCAAGGCUACGAUCGAUAGCUGGUCUGAGAGGAUGAUCAGCCACACUGGGACUGAUACACGGCCCAGACUCCUACGGGAGGUAGCAGUAGGGACUAUUGGACAAUGGGCGCAAGCCUGUUCCAGCCAUGCCGCGUGAGUGAAGAAGGCCCUCGGGUUGUAAAGCUCUUUUGUCCGGGAAGAAAAGCAUCGGGCUAAUGCCUCGUUGUUCUGACGGUACCGGAAGAAUAAGCACGGGCUAACUUCGUG
RNAcentral lists this ribosomal RNA (490 nucleotides) under uncultured bacterium. Its description in RNAcentral is "partial 16S ribosomal RNA". It matches the Rfam family "Bacterial small subunit ribosomal RNA", at positions 29 to 507 of the family's 1533-position model. The record is from RNAcentral.